GGAGGGUGCAAGCGUUAAUCGGGAAUUACUGGGGCGUAAAGCGAGUGUAGGCGGCUGCAUAAGUCGGAUGUGAAAGCCCUGGGGCUUAACCUGGGAAUGGCAUUCGAUACUGUGCAGCUAGAGUCUGAUAGAGGGAAGCGGAAUUCCGGGUGUAGCGGUGAAAUGCGUAGAGAUCCGGAGGAACACCAGUGGCGAAGGCGGCUUCCUGGAUUAAGACUGACGCUGAGGCUCGAAAGCGUGGGGAGCAAACAGGAUUAGAUACCCUGGUAGUCCACGCCCUAAACGAUGUCAACUAGACGUUGGGCUCAUUUCGGAGUCUAGUGUCGAAGCUAACGCGUUAAGUUGACCGCCUGGGGAGUACGGCCGCAAGGUUG
RNAcentral lists this ribosomal RNA (374 nucleotides) under uncultured organism. Its description in RNAcentral is "partial 16S ribosomal RNA". It matches the Rfam family "Bacterial small subunit ribosomal RNA", at positions 527 to 896 of the family's 1533-position model. The record is from RNAcentral.